RNAcentral lists this unclassified non-coding RNA (566 nucleotides) under Bombus terrestris (buff-tailed bumblebee). RNAcentral describes it as "misc RNA ENSBTSG00005029095.1". The record is from RNAcentral. Lineage: Eukaryota; Metazoa; Arthropoda; Insecta; Hymenoptera; Apidae.
UUUGGAAGCCAAUUCCUGUUCCAAAAGACCAGAUGGUUUGAUAAACACGUCGUAUUCUCGCGUCAAGACGAUACAUCGCCCACUUCGGUUUCUGAAACCAUCUUCAGCCAACUAUAUUUUGCUUAAAGGAAACGCCUAUCAUCCUAGCUGGGUGCUCCGGUCUUAGUAUAGAAUAUACUUGUUGCAAAGGAGGACAAGAGGAGCGGUGAUCGUGCAAAACCGUUCAUCGCGCGGCGAAUUUCACUCGGAAGCAUUCCGCCGGCUCUUUCUCCGAGAAAUCUCCGGUCCUGUGACGGAAAAUGAAAUCCGAUAUUGUAAUUCCACGCGCUUGUGUAACGCGACCUGCCAUUGGAAACGUCGAGAACGACAUUCCGGUCUAUCCCACUAUUUCGCACUCCCUUGUUCCGCUUCUCUUAAUUUCUCUCUCUUUCUCCGUCUCUAUUUCUCCCUGUGGGAGCGGCUACGAGUCCUGCGACAAGGAAUUCUCUGCUCGCGCAGCAUCCAUAUUAGCCUAUUCGAAAAUCUCGCUUCACCUUGCAUUUAUGCCACGCUGAUGAGCGUUACAG